GCACUGGGGGCUGACGAGGUAUAAGCGUAGUCCGUUUCGCUACGAAGUCGGGUAUAUGUUUUUCUACGAAAACAUUGUGUACAUACACAUGACAUCGAAGAACGGAUUAGUGGAAAUUUGUGUUUAAAACAGAGUCAUGGAGUGGCUGGAUGUUUCCUUUGAGGAAGAGAUAGUAACAACGACACAACAUGAUCCGAAGCGCACAGUCGACAUGGUCCGGUCUCACUAUGAUGCCGGCGGAGCCCCGGUGCGUGAUCAGGCAUCUACCGGGAUGAACCGGGGCCAUACCGGGAUGAACCGGUGCUCCACCGGGAUGAACCGUAGACGACCGGGGACAACCGGGGCUCCACCGGUAAAAUAUUAAAAUGUUUAAUACCUCCGAGAUGAACCGCGAGUCACCGGGAAGGACCGACACCGACCGGCGUGGCACUGUGAACAACCGGGACUGCACCGGUACGGCACCAUAGCUCCACCGGGGCCCAAACAGACCCCGGCAGAGCUACGGGGAGCCUGGUGAAUGCCGACAGAGUCCCGGUAUAGAUUCGGUACAUAAUUAAACCGGCGCUCUGACGGUUCCAUCCCGGUUGUGUCUACAUUGUCCGAAGGUACCACUGGCUCGGGAAAUAUCUGACAAUGGGCGUGUUAAUUCGUGAUAUCUUUCGCACAGGACUUUCUGUCACUGUAGAUUUUGUCGGAAUUAUCAAUUUGCCAGAAACCGGACUGAAUGUAAUAUUUUCAGAAUACUUUUAAUGUCGCCACCCAUAAUAUUGAACGUUCGAUUUCUGUAUUGUACACCUGGUGCAGUGUCACAAGGCAUCUCCCACAUAAAGGGAACCUUUUCGUUUGGAUGCUCAUGCGCACAAUUAAGCACAGCAUCUUUUGC
Molecule: long non-coding RNA, 883 nt
Organism: Dreissena polymorpha
Lineage: Eukaryota; Metazoa; Mollusca; Bivalvia; Myida; Dreissenidae
Exons: 3
Source: RefSeq, a predicted model, not a curated record